Molecule: ribosomal RNA, 506 nt
Filed under: uncultured bacterium
Lineage: Bacteria
Description: partial 16S ribosomal RNA
Rfam family: Bacterial small subunit ribosomal RNA
Source: RNAcentral
AGUGAACGCUGGCGGUAGGCCUAACACAUGCAAGUCGAACGGCAGCACAGAGGAGCUUGCUCCUUGGGUGGCGAGUGGCGGACGGGGGAGGAAUACAUCGGAAUCUACUCUGUCGUGGGGGAUAACGUAGGGAAACUUACGCUAAUACCGCAUACGACCUACUGGAGAAAGCAGGGGAUCUUCGGACCUUGCGCGACUGAAUGGGCCGAUGUCGGAUUAGCUAGUUGGCGGGGUAAAGGCCCACCAAGGCGACGAUCCGUAGCUGGUCUGAGAGGAUGAUCAGCCACACUGGAACUGAGACACGGUCCAGACUCCUACGGGAGGCAGCAGUGGGGAAUAUUGGACAAUGGGCGCAAGCCUGAUCCAGCCAUACCGCGUGGGUGAAGAAGGCCUUCGGGUUGUAAAGCCCUUUUGUUGGGAAAGAAAUCCAUCUGGUUAAUACCCGGGUGGGAUGACGGUACCCAAAGAAUAAGCACCGGCUAACUUCGUGCCAGCCGCCGCCGUAA